UCUUUAAAAUGGAUUUGAGAAGGGGGUCGCAUGUGUACAUAUGAGUCAGAUGACUCAUAAAAACCUCACCCUUUUUCAUAACUAGCGAAUCAUUUGCACUAGUCAGCACCUUUGGAGUAAAAAAAGGAACAAAUUACAGGUCACGUGAUCCCAAAGGAUCACAUGUGAUUUCUUUAUGGGUUAUAUCUUUUCUUAUGGGUUAUAUCGUUUUUAGGCGCUUGCUUCCUGUUAACGAAAUUCUUAUUUUUGCAUCUAGAGUACAGUAUUCUCCAUCGUACACCCAUCAUAUAGGAUCCAUAAUCAGGAUUUCGCAUCAUCUACGAUAUGCUGUACAGUUGGGCUAUUAAAUUUUGGGAUUCUUCACUAUAAGACCGUUUUUUUUUUUUUUACCAGGUUUCUAUGCGGCCAAGCGCACACAUGUAGAAAUGCAUAAAUGCUGCCAAGCCCUCACAAGAGAAAUUUUGUUUAUUGUUUUGCAUAUUGUGCAUAAUCAACGUCACAUUCUCAACUACUCGAUUUUACAUCUAGCAAUCAAUAGUAGUGACCAGUGUUGGAAAAAAUCCGGCGAUCUAACUAGUAACUGCCCGAUGUGGCCGGUUUCAAUUUUGGUGACUGUCUUGGUAUUUUUUAAAAAAAUUCAAAAAAAAAUAUUAAUCCCAAAAUAAGGGAUUUUGUUUGUAAUGUAAUUUUUAAUGUUUUCCAUCAUUAUGGCAAAGAUUGGAAAUCACUUAUACUUAUUUUACAUUUUUCCAUCUUUUUUAAAAAUUUUAAAAAAUACCCCUUAGUACAAAUCGG
Molecule: long non-coding RNA, 795 nt
Filed under: Amborella trichopoda
Lineage: Eukaryota; Viridiplantae; Streptophyta; Magnoliopsida; Amborellales; Amborellaceae
Description: long non-coding RNA (ATRI_LNC005064)
Source: RNAcentral